RNAcentral lists this non-coding RNA (60 nucleotides) under Ctenophora environmental sample. The record is from RNAcentral. Lineage: Eukaryota; Metazoa; Ctenophora.
CGGGUCACCUCCGUGAAUGAAAUUGCGGAUCUGGACCCCUGUCCUGCUCAUAAAGCCGGC